This 1507-nucleotide ribosomal RNA is filed under the name human gut metagenome. RNAcentral describes it as "bacterial LSU rRNA". It matches the Rfam family "Bacterial large subunit ribosomal RNA", at positions 1418 to 2925 of the family's 2925-position model. The record is from RNAcentral.
AUGGACAACAGGUUUAUAUUCCUGUACUAUCUAUAUGACUGAUGGAGUGACGAAGAAGGAUAAGAAGAGCCAGUUAUUGGAUUCUGGUCUAAGCACAAAGGCCGAUAAGUAGGGAAAUCCGUUUAUCGAUAAGGUUGAAGUGUAAUGGUGAAACUGUUUACAGUGAAAUUUUCUGACUCCAAGCUUCCAAGAAAAACUUCUAGGGUUAAUCAUAUAGAUACCCGUACCGAGAACCGACACAGGUGGGCAAGGAGAGUAUCCUAAGGUGAGCGAGAGAACUAUGGUUAAGGAACUCGGCAAAAUAACCCCGUAACUUAGGGAUAAGGGGUGGUCAUUAACGUGACCGGCACUAAAGACGCCCAGGCAACUGUUUACCAAAAACACAGGUCUCUGCUAAGUUGUAAGACGAUGUAUAGGGGCUGACACCUGCCCAGUGCUGGAAGGUUAAGAGGAGUGCUUAGAUUGACAUUUAGUCGAUGAUUGCGAAGGUACGAAUUGAAGCCCCAGUGAACGGCGGCCGUAACUAUAACGGUCCUAAGGUAGCGAAAUUCCUUGUCAGGUAAGUUCUGACCCGCACGAAAGGUGUAAUGAUCUGGGCACUGUCUCAACCAUAGACUCGGUGAAAUCUUAAUACCUGUGAAAAUGCAGGUUACCCGCAACAGGACGGGAAGACCCCAUGGAGCUUUACUGUAGCUUGAUAUUGGAGUUCGGUGUAUUUUGUAGAGGAUAGGUGGGAGACGUUGAAACUAGGACGCCAGUUCUAGUAGAGUCAUCCUUGGAAUACCACCCUUAAUACACUGGAUUUCUAACCUAGGACCGUGAUCCGGUUCAGGGACAGUGUCUGGUGGGCAGUUUGACUGGGGCGGUCGCCUCCUAAAAAGUAACGGAGGCGCUCAAAGGUUCCCUCAGAAUGUUUGGAAAUCAUUCUAAGAGCGUAAAGGUAUAAGGGAGCUUGACUGCGAGACCUACAAGUCAAGCAGAUACGAAAGUAGGACUUAGUGAUCAGACGAUGCAGUAUGGAAUGGUCGUCGCUUAACGGAUAAAAGUUACCCUGGGGAUAACAGGCUGAUACCACCCAAUAGUUCACAUAGACGGUGGUGUUUGGCACCUCGAUGUCGGCUCGUCACAUCCUGGAGGUGAAGUCGCUUCCAAGGGUUGGGCUGUUCGCCCAUUAAAGUGGCACGCGAGCUGGGUUCAGAACGUCGUGAGACAGUUCGGUCCCUAUCCGUUGUGGGCGUAGGAAAAUUGAAGAGAGCUAUCCUUAGUACGAGAGGACCGGGAUGGACCAACCUCUGGUGUAUCUGUUGUAACGCCAGUUGCAGUGCAGAGUAGCUAUGUUGGGAAUGGAUAACCGCUGAAAGCAUCUAAGCGGGAAGCCAACUUUAAGAUGAGUUUUCCCAUAUUUUAUAUAGUAAGAUCCCAGAAAGACUAUCUGGUUGAUAGGCUGGAGGUGGAAGCAUGGUGACAUGUUGAGCUGACCAGUACUAAUAGAUCGAGGAUUUAACCC